Molecule: ribosomal RNA, 253 nt
Filed under: uncultured bacterium
Lineage: Bacteria
Description: partial 16S ribosomal RNA
Rfam family: Bacterial small subunit ribosomal RNA
Source: RNAcentral
UACGGGGGGAGCAAGCGUUAUCCGGAUUCACUGGGUUUAAAGGGUGCGUAGGCGGGCAGGUAAGUCAGAGGUGAAAUCUCCGGGCUUAACCCGGAAACUGCCUUUGAUACUAUCUGUCUUGAAUAUGGUGGAGGUAAGCGGAAUAUGUCAUGUAGCGGUGAAAUGCUUAGAGAUGACAUAGAACACCUAUUGCGAAGGCAGCUUACUACGCCUAUAUUGACGCUGAGGCACGAAAGCGUGGGGAUCAAACAGG